CUUACACACUGAACCUUCAAAGUCCAGGAGUUUAUAACUGAAAUAAAAUGAAUCACUUUAUCAUUGAGGUGAAAAGGUACCACAUGCACAUUUAACGAAGUUACGAAUUGCAAAAUUACACAAUAUCUCUCAUUUAGCUAUCAGCUUUUGAGUAAAAAGUUGAGCUUGUUUAAGGCGUGUGCUAAUUAAUAGUCAAGACAAUAAAAUGAAUACAACUUUCAAAAAUACAUCUUUUAAUGCUCGUUUGAUUAUGAAGUUAGGGCACAUCUGUAAAGUGAACAUUUGCUAUUCUCAACGCCAUUAACAAUUAAGUGACCAAGGGAAACUGUGUAGAAAACGUUACAGCUCAUGACGCGAAGUAACAUAUUGUGGAGCUAGCUUGCUUAGUAGCUUACGGAGACGAGUCUUCAUCGUCCACAGAGCUACAAUGUUACGUGCCUCUUCUUCAGAUGCUCCGGUGUUGAGAUGUUACAGUUCACAGCCUUUUUGACUGAGUGAAGAGAAAAAUGCUCCCACACUGGAGGUUUUAGGUUGUGAAGGUGCUAUACCAGAGCUGAUGUUGUGUUGUUUUAGUAACGUUACUGUUCACUGUUUACUGUUCCUCUUCAUUUGUCCUCUCCAUCGUUGAAACUAAACCAGAGUUCUCACAUUUCAGGAAAAUUUAAAAUUGUACAACUUUAAACUUUUAAAACUUUUUCAGGUUGAGUGGCUGUAACCUCUCAGAGAGAGGCUGUAAAGCUCUGUCCUCAGUUCUCAGCAUGAAGUCUUCUAUUCUGAGAGAGCUGGACCUGUGCAACAACAACCUGCAGGAUUCGGGAGUGAAGCUGCUGUCUGCUGGACUCCAGAGUCCACGCUGUACACUGGAAACUCUCAGUAGGUGGCGGGAUGCACCUGAACAAGUUGGUUGCGACCCGCUAUAAAACCCAGAGAAGAAGAAGAAGAAGAUAGAAGAAGAACUAAGAUGUGAAUAGAAUAACGAGCAGUGGAGGGCAGCAACACGCCAUAGAUGAAUUCACAAGAAGAUCAACUGGCCCCCUUCCUGUUUUCAGCGUUUUCCGUGACAAAGUGUUCAAAGUUCAAAGUGUGACUCAAUGGUCGUUUCCUCACACUAGUGAUGGCGAGACGAAGCUUCAUGAAGCAUUGAAGCUUUCCAUUGAAUUGGUUCACUCAUGGGCCGAAGCUUCAUGAAGCAUUGAAGCUUUCCAUUGAAUUGGUUCACUCAUGGGCCGAAGCUUCAUGAAGCAUUGAAGCUUUCCAUUGAAUUGGUUCACUCAUGGGCCGAAGCUUCAUGGUGCUUCAUUUGCUCUAGUGUGCCAUCAAGUGGACAAUACAUGUAAAACAGUUAAAGUGAUUAUAAUGGCAUCAUGGCUUUGGUUUGUAAAGCUUUGAAUUGAAUAAAUUAAUGAAUGAUGUUUGUGAUGCCGAUACAUAAAUGAUUAACUUACUAAUAAGGUGUCUGUCUGUAUGAUACAAUGACAGGGUCAAAAGGGAAAGUGGAAACAAGGGAGAGGGUUAUGAUGUGAAUGUGCUUGUGUUACUUGGUUUAUGACUUUAGAUAAUACAGACAUUUCAUUCAUUUUUAUUUAAAAUAACUUUUCCACAGUGCUUAGC
RNA transcript from Micropterus salmoides (largemouth bass), 1611 nucleotides. It is a transcript of the gene named ribonuclease inhibitor-like, with no coding region annotated. NCBI's taxonomy places the organism in Eukaryota, Metazoa, Chordata, Actinopteri, Centrarchiformes, Centrarchidae. The transcript is spliced from 2 exons. The record is from RefSeq and is a predicted model, not a curated record.